AGAUAGGACAAAGAAUGAUUACAAGCAAUAGAACUUCCCCAUAAGGAGUCAGAAGAAAAGAUUUCUGCUGAACAGUAAAAGAAGACAGCCCGUCUGCAUCUUAAGGAGCGAUAUAUUAUUUCCAUUUGUGACACGUCAGCUAAGAAAAUUGCUUUCAUCUGGAAGAGACAUCUUGACAUCCUCAGAAUGAAAGCUGUGGUUGGACUCUUUUUUUCAGCGCUCUUCACAACAGGUGCUUGCUUAAAAUGUGAAUUUUGUACAGUGCUCGGCAAGACCUGUAAUGGUGGUGAGACUACAUGCUUAGCCGGAUCAUAUACUUGUGGGGGAAUUUUGACUGAAGUCAAGAUUGGUGGACAGUCCAUUUUUAACUUUGCAAAGGGCUGCAUUCCGACGUCUGAGUGCAAUACAGUAAUGAAAACGGAAUAUAAUGGAGUUGUUGGAACUGCGACAGUUACGUGUGAUAAGGCACCCUCAACAGUGGCAUCACUCAUCCUCUGUCUCUCUGGACUCCUUCUAGUGAAGAUCCUCCUGUAAUAAACUUUUGAAGCAUUUCAGUAAGGAAAUAAUCUGCCUUGCCUUCUCCAUGGAAUCUUCUCUGGAGACUACUCUCUCAAGGCCAUUUACAAGAUACAAUAAUAAAUAAAACCCCUAAUAAAAAAAUAAUCAAUCCAA
Molecule: non-coding RNA, 672 nt
Organism: Python bivittatus (Burmese python)
Lineage: Eukaryota; Metazoa; Chordata; Lepidosauria; Squamata; Pythonidae
Source: RefSeq, a predicted model, not a curated record